This is a long non-coding RNA of Homo sapiens (human), 219 nucleotides long. The record is from Ensembl. Lineage: Eukaryota; Metazoa; Chordata; Mammalia; Primates; Hominidae.
UAGAUGUUGAGAGUCAGUUUUAUUGCCAUCUCUGGGAGGGGCUCAAAUCCGCCCAAUCUCCUUCAGCUUGGCCACCAGGUCCACCUUCUCCUUCUCUGCCAGCUUGGCCAGGACCCGAGCCACCUGCAGGGGACCCAAGCGUUCUGCUUCUGCUGGGGGCACCUCCACGUGGAUACCUCGGUCUGCACCCAUGGCCAGGGCGGUACGAAUCGUCUCCUG